GGCGACGUGGCCGAGUGGUUAGGCAGAGGCCUGCAAAGCCUUGCACCCCGGUUCGAUUCCGGGCGUCGCCU
Molecule: transfer RNA, 71 nt
Filed under: Geovibrio thiophilus
Lineage: Bacteria; Pseudomonadati; Deferribacterota; Deferribacteres; Deferribacterales; Geovibrionaceae
Also listed under: 2 other names
Rfam family: tRNA
About the family: Transfer RNA (tRNA) molecules are approximately 80 nucleotides in length.
Source: Rfam by way of RNAcentral